GCUUGUUUAGCUCAGUAGGUAGAGCAAUUGGCUGUUAACCAAUGGGUCGUAGGUUCGAGUCCUACAACAAGCGCCA
This 76-nucleotide transfer RNA is filed under the name Erysipelothrix sp. HDW6C. Its description in RNAcentral is "tRNA-Asn". It matches the Rfam family "tRNA". From Rfam's summary of the family: Transfer RNA (tRNA) molecules are approximately 80 nucleotides in length. The record is from RNAcentral. Lineage: Bacteria; Bacillati; Bacillota; Erysipelotrichia; Erysipelotrichales; Erysipelotrichaceae.